Calypte anna (Anna's hummingbird) is the source of this 172-nucleotide small nuclear RNA. RefSeq annotates it as U2 spliceosomal RNA. The transcript has a single exon. The record is from RefSeq and is a predicted model, not a curated record. NCBI's taxonomy places the organism in Eukaryota, Metazoa, Chordata, Aves, Apodiformes, Trochilidae.
GUAGCAUUCUCGGCCUUUUGGCUAAGAUCAAGUGUAGUAUCUGUUCUUAUCAGUUUAAUAUCUGAUACGUCCUCGAUGUAGUAUCUGUUCUUAUCAGUUUAAUAUCGCAACCGCAACGGUGGUUCAAGGGUUGGACUCGAUGAUCUCUGAGGUCCCUUCCAACCCAGCCAAU